AACGAACGCUGGCGGCAGGCUUAACACAUGCAAGUCGAACGCUCGUAGCAAUACGGGAGUGGCGGACGGGUGAGUAACGCGUGGGAACGUGCCCUGAGGUACGGAAUAACUGAGGGAAACUUCAGCUAAUACCGUAUGAGCCCCGAGAGGGGGAAAGAUUUAUCGCCUUGGGAGCGGCCCGCGUCGGAUUAGCUAGUUGGUGGGGUAACGGCCUACCAAGGCUUCGAUCCGUAGCUGGUCUGAGAGGACGAUCAGCCACACUGGGACUGAGACACGGCCCAGACUCCUACGGGAGGCAGCAGUGGGGAAUCUUGCGCAAUGGGGGGCAACCCUGACGCAGCCAUGCCGCGUGAACGAUGAAGGCCUUAGGGUUGUAAAGUUCUUUUACCCGUGACGAUGAUGACGGUAACGGGGGAAUAAGCUCCGGCUAACUUCGUGCCAGCAGCCGCGGUAAU
Molecule: ribosomal RNA, 455 nt
Filed under: uncultured bacterium
Lineage: Bacteria
Description: bacterial SSU rRNA
Rfam family: Bacterial small subunit ribosomal RNA
Source: RNAcentral